ACCGGCCGAUAUCAGAUUAGGUAGUUGGUGGGGUAAAGGCCUACCAAGCCGACGAUCUGUAGCUGNUUGAGAGGACGACCAGCCACACUGGGACUGAGACACGGGCCAGACUCNUACGGNAGGCAGCAGUGGGGAAUUUUGGACAAUGGGCGCAAGCCUGAUCCAGCAGUGCCGCGUGCAGNAUGAAGGCCUUCGGGUUGUAAACUGCUUUUGUACGGAGCGAAAAGGCUUCCACUAAUACUGGGGGCUCAUGACGGUACCGUAAGAAGAAGCACCGGCUAACUACGUGCCAGCAGCCGCGGUAAUACGUAGGGUGCGAGCGUUAAUCGGAAUUACUGGGCGUAAAGCGUGCGCAGGCGGUUUUGUAAGACAGAUGUGAAAUCCCCGGGCUCAACCUGGGAACUGCGUUUGUGACUGCAAGACUCGAGUGUGGCAGAGGGGGGUGGAAUUCCACGUGUAGCAGUGAAAUGCGUAGAGAUGUGGAGGAACACCGAUGGCGAAGGCAGCCCCCUGGGUCAACACUGACGCUCAUGCACGAAAGCGUGGGUAGCAAACAGGAUUAGAUACCCUGGUAGUCCACGCCGUAAACGAUGGGUGCUUGGUGUCGGGGGUAUCGACCCCUCCGGUGCCGAAGCUAACGCAUUAAGCACCCCGCCUGGGGAGUACGGUCGCAAGGCUGAAACUCAAAUGAAUUGACGG
RNAcentral lists this ribosomal RNA (699 nucleotides) under uncultured Alphaproteobacteria bacterium. RNAcentral's name for it is "bacterial SSU rRNA". It matches the Rfam family "Bacterial small subunit ribosomal RNA", at positions 225 to 916 of the family's 1533-position model. The record is from RNAcentral. Lineage: Bacteria; Pseudomonadati; Pseudomonadota; Alphaproteobacteria.